RNAcentral lists this unclassified non-coding RNA (597 nucleotides) under Athalia rosae (coleseed sawfly). RNAcentral describes it as "misc RNA ENSAEAG00005001239.1". The record is from RNAcentral. Lineage: Eukaryota; Metazoa; Arthropoda; Insecta; Hymenoptera; Athaliidae.
UUCGAGUCGGGAUCGCACAGUUGAAUACUCGUCUCGUUGCUCUUCAUUUUGAAUCUAUUCACUAAUCUUAUACCGAUUCCUGGUGCGAUACAAUUGAAGUGACAUCCACUCGCGCUAAUCCAAUUAUCGGGUCUAUCGAUGUUUAAGUUUCUGGAAAGUAGAUCGAUAUCGUCGUUUCUAUCAAUGAAAUUUGUGUUUAGCGAAUAGCAUUUUUCUGGUAGAUCCAAAAAUUUAUCGUUCUCGUAAUCCGAACAGAGAAAUUCCUGAAACAAUAAAGACAAACAAUCGCACGACGUUUCGAGACAUCCAGAAGCACAUUCCGACACGUGCCAAGCGCCCCAAAUUCCUCCAGAAAGUUUUUCCGUGCUACUACCUCCACUGGUGCUACCCAGGAGGUGAAAUUUUACCCUAUUGUUACCGCAAGAUGUUCCUUCCAAUGCGGGGUGCGAUGUCCAGGUAUACCUAUCGCGUUCGCAAUGCAUGUCUCUACAGAUAUCAUCAAGAGGUUGUUGAUCAGAAUGUCUACUACCGAAUCCAUAUUUUAAAAUGCAUUGUUGAUUUGAAUCAAAUCUUUCGCCAGGUAGAGCACCUUCCGCG